RNAcentral lists this small nuclear RNA (117 nucleotides) under Trifolium pratense (red clover). RNAcentral's name for it is "snRNA U5". It matches the Rfam family "U5 spliceosomal RNA". From Rfam's summary of the family: U5 RNA is a component of both types of known spliceosome. The precise function of this molecule is unknown, though it is known that the 5' loop is required for splice site selection and p220 binding, and that both the 3' stem-loop and the Sm site are important for Sm protein binding and cap methylation. Lineage: Eukaryota; Viridiplantae; Streptophyta; Magnoliopsida; Fabales; Fabaceae. The record is from RNAcentral.
AACCUUGUGAUAAACACAAAGCGAACUAUUCUUUCGCCUUUUACUAAAGAAUACCGUGUGUUUGUCGCUAAAAGCGGUAUACGCUUAUUUUUGAAAGAGUUCUCUCCCAAGAGAUCU